This 497-nucleotide ribosomal RNA is filed under the name uncultured bacterium. RNAcentral's name for it is "partial 16S ribosomal RNA". It matches the Rfam family "Bacterial small subunit ribosomal RNA", at positions 28 to 507 of the family's 1533-position model. The record is from RNAcentral.
GACGAACGCUGGCGGCGUGCCUAAUACAUGCAAGUAGAGCGCUGAAGGUUGGUAUUUGUACCAACUGGGUGAGCAGCGAACGUGUGAGUAACGUGUGGGGCAUCUGUCUUUGCGCGGGGGACAACAUUUGGACAAGAAUGCUAAUACCGCAUAAAAACUUUAAACACAAUAUCUACGUUUAAAAGAUGCAUUUGCCUCACUCAAAGAUGAUCCCGCGUUGUAUUAGCUAGGUGGUGAGGUAAAGGCUCACCAAGGCGAUGAUACAUAGCCGACCCGAGAGGGUGAUCGGCCACACUGGGACUGAGACACGGCCCAAACUCCUACGGGAGGCAGCAGUAGGGAAUCUUCGGCAAUGGACGAAAGUCUGACCGAGCAACGCCGCGUGAGUGAAGAAGGUUUUCGGAUCGUAAAACUCUGUUGGUAGAGAAGAACGUGGGUGAGAGUGGAAAGCUCAUCAAGUGACGGUAACUAACCAGAAAGGGACGGCUAACUACGUG